AGCCCGCUCAAGAACUACAAAGGAUUGACGGGGCCCGCACAAGCGGUGGAGCAUGUGGUUUAAUUCGAUGAUACGCGAGGACCUUACCAGGGCUUGACAUACACUGGAAUGGGCGUGAAAGCGUCCAGCCCCUCGGGGCCGGUGUACAGGUGCUGCAUGGCUGUCGUCAGCUCGUGCUGUGAAGUGUUGGGUUAAGUCCCGCAACGAGCGCAACCCUAUUGCUAGUUACCAUCAUUAAGUUGGGGACUCUAGCGAGACUGCCAGUGAUAAACUGGAGGAAGGUGGGGAUGACGUCAAAUCAUCAUGCCCCUUAUGACCUGGGCUACAAACGUGAUACAAUGGCUGGAACAAAGGGAUGCGAAGCAGUGAUGUGGAGCGAAACCCAUAAAAACAGUCUCAGUUCGGAUUGAAGUCUGCAACUCGACUUCAUGAAGUCGGAAUCGCUAGUAAUCGCGGAUCAGAACGCCGCGGUGAAUACGUUCUCGGGGUUU
Molecule: ribosomal RNA, 491 nt
Filed under: uncultured Acholeplasma sp.
Lineage: Bacteria; Bacillati; Mycoplasmatota; Mollicutes; Acholeplasmatales; Acholeplasmataceae
Description: bacterial SSU rRNA
Rfam family: Bacterial small subunit ribosomal RNA
Source: RNAcentral